RNAcentral lists this ribosomal RNA (463 nucleotides) under uncultured bacterium. RNAcentral describes it as "partial 16S ribosomal RNA". It matches the Rfam family "Bacterial small subunit ribosomal RNA", at positions 329 to 792 of the family's 1533-position model. The record is from RNAcentral.
GGCCAGACUCCUACGGGAGGCAGCAGUGGGGAAUAUUGCACAAUGGGGGAAACCCUGAUGCAGCGACGCCGCGUGAGUGAAGAAGUAUUUCGGUACGUAAAGCUCUAUCAGCAGGGAAGAAAGAAAGUCCUUUGGACUUUGGACGGUACCUGACCAAGAAGCCCCGGCUAACUACGUGCCAGCAGCCGCGGUAAUACGUAGGGGGCAAGCGUUAUCCGGAUUUACUGGGUGUAAAGGGAGCGUAGACGGCGAUGCAAGUCUGAAGUGAAAGGCGGGGGCCCAACCCCCGGACUGCUUUGGAAACUGUAUAGCUGGAGUGCAGGAGAGGUAAGUGGAAUUCCUAGUGUAGCGGUGAAAUGCGUAGAUAUUAGGAGGAACACCAGUGGCGAAGGCGGCCUGCUGGACGAUGACUGACGCUGAGGCUCGAAAGCGUGGGGAGCAAACAGGAUUAGAUACCCGCGUA